RNAcentral lists this ribosomal RNA (465 nucleotides) under uncultured Klebsiella sp. RNAcentral's name for it is "bacterial SSU rRNA". It matches the Rfam family "Bacterial small subunit ribosomal RNA", at positions 338 to 795 of the family's 1533-position model. The record is from RNAcentral. Lineage: Bacteria; Pseudomonadati; Pseudomonadota; Gammaproteobacteria; Enterobacterales; Enterobacteriaceae.
CCUACGGGAGGCAGCAGUGGGGAAUAUUGCACAAUGGGCGCAAGCCUGAUGCAGCCAUGCCGCGUGUGUGAAGAAGGCCUUCGGGUUGUAAAGCACUUUAAGCGGGGAGGAAGGCGUUAAGGUUAAUAACCUUGUCGUUUGACGUUACCCGCAGAAGAAGCACCGGCUAACUCCGUGCCAGCAGCCGCGGUAAUACGGAGGGUGCAGGCGUUAAUCGGAAUUACGGGGCGUAAAGCGCACGCAGGCGGUCUGUCAAGUCGGAUGUGAAAUCCCCGGGCUCAACCUGGGAACUGCAUUCGAAACUGGCAGGCUAGAGUCUUGUAGAGGGGGGUAGAAUUCCAGGUGUAGCGGUGAAAUGCGUAGAGAUCUGGAGGAAUACCGGUGGCGAAGGCGGCCCCCUGGACAAAGACUGACGCUCAGGUGCGAAAGCGUGGGGAGCAAACAGGAUUAGAUACCCGAGUAGUC